GAAUAUUGGGCAAUGGAGGAAACUCUUACCCAGCAAUGCCGCGUGAAGGAAGAAGGUCUUCGGAUUGUAAACUUCUUUUAUAGGCGAGGAAGAAUGACGGUAGCCAAUGAAAAAGAACCGGCAAACUAUGUGCAAGAAGCCGCGGUAAUACAUAGGGGGCGAGCGUUGUCCGGAAUGACGGGGCGUAAAGGGAGUGUAGGCGGUUAUGCAAGUUACAUGUGAAAGCCCAGGGCUUAACUCUGGAACUGCAUUGAAAACUGCAUAACUAGAGUGUGGGAGAGGAAAGUGGGAUUCCUAGUGUAGCGGUGGAAUGCGUAGAUAUUAGGAGGAACACCAGUGGCGAAGGCGGCUUUCUGGACCACAACUGACGCUGAGGCUCGAAAGCGUGGGGAGCAAACA
Molecule: ribosomal RNA, 399 nt
Filed under: uncultured bacterium
Lineage: Bacteria
Description: partial 16S ribosomal RNA
Rfam family: Bacterial small subunit ribosomal RNA
Source: RNAcentral